GAAAUGCGAUACGUAAUGUGAAUUGCAAAUUCAGUGAAUCAUCGAGUCUUUGAACGCACAUUGCGCCCCCUGGUAUUUCGGGGGGCAUGCCUGUCCGAGCGUCAUUUCUGCCCUCAAGCACGGCUUGUGUGUUGGGCCCCGUCCUCCGAUCCCGGGGGACGGGCCCGAAAGGCAGCGGCGGCACCGCGUCCGGUCCUCGAGCGUAUGGGGCUUUGUCACCCGCUCUGUAGGCCCGGCCGGCGCUUGCCGAUCAACCCAAAUUUUUAUCCAGGUUGACCUCGGAUCAGGUAGGGAUACCCGCUGAACUUAAGC
RNAcentral lists this unclassified non-coding RNA (312 nucleotides) under plant metagenome. Its description in RNAcentral is "partial contains 5.8S ribosomal RNA, internal transcribed spacer 2, and large subunit ribosomal RNA". The stretch from base 1 to 104 matches the Rfam family "5.8S ribosomal RNA", at positions 50 to 154 of the family's 154-position model. The record is from RNAcentral.